This is a long non-coding RNA of Nymphaea colorata (pocket water lily), 894 nucleotides long. RefSeq lists it as uncharacterized. The transcript is spliced from 3 exons. The record is from RefSeq and is a predicted model, not a curated record. NCBI's taxonomy places the organism in Eukaryota, Viridiplantae, Streptophyta, Magnoliopsida, Nymphaeales, Nymphaeaceae.
GAAAGCAUCAGUGACCGAUGAUGACCUUUACAGGAAGUAUAUAUGUCUCAUGAUUCGUCCAUAAGACAUGGCUUGUCUAAAUUACUGAAAUCAUGGAGAUAUCAUCCUGGCGAAAAGCAGCCUACCGCCUGGCUGAAGGCCUAAGCCCCAGUUAACUUCUAGUCUUGUUUUUGGUGUUUCAAGAAAGUUUCAACUGUACACGCAUAUGCCUCAUGCUCAGAAGAACUCAGAAUGUAUAUUACUACAUGGGGUCAAGGAGGUACAGUUGCAGGGAUUGCUGCUGCCCUCAAGAGGGUCCAGAGCAGUUGUAAAUAGUUGAGGUCAACAUCUUUCUAGUUCUCAACUUCAAAAUUCAUGUAGCAGUGGCGGAAACGAGACAAGAAUAGACCAUCCUAGUUCUGCAAGAAAGGCAAUUUUUUCUUCAAUUAGCAAGUUAAUCUUAACUCCAUAUACUAUUUAACGUCAGUCAAUUACUGAGUUUUCUUUCAGGAAUGAGAGUCAAAACUCAAGGUGACGAGAUGAAGGAUGUGUCGAAGGCAGGCAAUUCUCUGGCUAGGUUCACAGAUUGAUGAAAAUGGUUGUUCUUGGAGGUUAACAUGGAGGAAAUUUGACCAUGCAAUUAAUAGGCUUAAUUGCUGCAAUAUAUAGUUGAGACAAAAGGAAAUGUCGUAUCAUAUUCAUUGAUGAUGGGGACAAAACAUUUUUUUUUAACAAGCUUUAUGUGAAUCCGUGGCUCACAUUAAACCUAAACUAAUUUCUGAAAAGUUUUUAACUGACUAGGCUUCAAAUGCAGAAUGCCCACCAAUGAAGAGCUUCAUCCAAGAGGGGAACUCAGGAUCAUGAUGACGACAUUUCACAUACCAUAGUUCCCUAUGAUAAUGUAUUUCACGGUUU